RNAcentral lists this transfer RNA (76 nucleotides) under Yersinia enterocolitica. RNAcentral describes it as "tRNA-Lys". It matches the Rfam family "tRNA". Rfam says of the family: Transfer RNA (tRNA) molecules are approximately 80 nucleotides in length. Their secondary structure includes four short double-helical elements and three loops (D, anti-codon, and T loops). Lineage: Bacteria; Pseudomonadati; Pseudomonadota; Gammaproteobacteria; Enterobacterales; Yersiniaceae. The record is from RNAcentral.
GGGUCGUUAGCUCAGUUGGUAGAGCAGUUGACUUUUAAUCAAUUGGUCACAGGUUCGAAUCCCGCACGACCCACCA